RNAcentral lists this ribosomal RNA (399 nucleotides) under uncultured bacterium. Its description in RNAcentral is "bacterial SSU rRNA". It matches the Rfam family "Bacterial small subunit ribosomal RNA", at positions 142 to 518 of the family's 1533-position model. The record is from RNAcentral.
AGUAACAUCCGGAAACGGGUGCUAAUACCGCAUAGUUUUCUUGAUCGCAUGAUUGAGAAAGGAAAGAUGGCCUUUGUGCGUGUCGCUUAUGGAUGGACCCGCGGCGUAUUAGUUAGUUGGUGAGGUAACGGCUCACCGAAGACGAUGAUACGUAGCCGACCUGAGAGGGUGAUCGGCCACAUUGGGACUGAGACACGGCCCAAACUCCUACGGGAGGCAGCAGUAGGGAAUCUUCCGCAAUGGACGAAAGUCUGACGGAGCAACGCCGCGUGAGUGAAGGAAAAGGGUUUUUCGGAUCGUAAAACUCUGUUGUCAGAGAAGAACAAGUUGGAGAGUAACUGCUCCAGCCUUGACGGUAUCUGACCAGAAAGCCACGGCUAACUACGUGCCAGCCGCUGC